RNAcentral lists this long non-coding RNA (1048 nucleotides) under Nothobranchius furzeri (turquoise killifish). Its description in RNAcentral is "lncRNA (ENSNFUG00015009702.1)". The record is from RNAcentral. Lineage: Eukaryota; Metazoa; Chordata; Actinopteri; Cyprinodontiformes; Nothobranchiidae.
GCGGCUCUUCCAUCCAUCUGAUGCGGCUCUCUGUGCUUGUAAAAUAAUGAAUGGAUAUUUAAAUAAAAUGCUUUAUAUUUUACUGAAUUAAUUUUAUAUCUGUAAGUCAAUUCUAUGUGAAGAUUGUCUGCGUAAACCUGAACAGGUCCAACCCGGUCUUACUGUGAGACCGUGUUGGGUCACGCUUGUGCGUAAUCAUAUACGCUUAUAUGAGCUGAAGAGGAUGUGCGAUUCUGGGCUUCUCCUCAGAUGGCUCCUGGAUGUGUCGCACAUUGGAGACAGGAACUAGAGCAAGCGAUCUACCCCACAGGACUUCCCUGUGCUCUUUUUGUUCUCCUUAUAAUAAAGACUUUUACUUUAACCAGUUCCACGAGUCAGUUUCUGCAUGUCUCGGGUUAAACACAUACCUCGAGCAAUGACAACCCUGUCAAAUUGAAAUACCUGGUAUAAAUAUUGUUUUUGUAUUUAUUUUUAAACAGAAUCAUAGAAACACAUUUCUUGAGUGUCCCCUCCAUCCUAUUCCACAGCCUUGCUCCACCUACCGAAAUAACAAAGGUUUUACUUUUUGUACAUGGAAAAGGAAUUCUGAAAUGAAAUUGUUCCCAUAAUUUAUAACCCCCUUCCUUCUCUAUGAAUCAUUUUUGGAUGUUUUCUGGUAAUAGUUUGUUUCUUGCUAGAAAUAAUAUUUGUGCUGUCUGUAAUUCUACAAUGUCUCUAAAUUUUAAGAGUGUUGACUGUAUAAAUAAUUUAUUAGUGUGAUCCCUAUAUCCUACCUUUUGAAUGAUUCAAAUCUAUUAUUUGUGAAUUGGUGCUUGUUCCCAGUUAAGGCAGGAGAUAGGUGUAGGAGACUAUUUUCAUGUUCAGCCUGCAUGUAUAUAAUUAGAAAUACUGAUUAUAAUUCUAAAAUGAGUAAAAACAGCUUCUCAGUGAACUUGGCCUUUAAAUAUCAAAAUCAGGCUUUUCUUAUGGAAGCAGUGACUGAAUCCAGAGAAUAGCAUCAUUGCUAUCUUCUUAAUAAACCUUAUUUGUCUUCAAAGAGAUGAAUGCA